Molecule: long non-coding RNA, 561 nt
Organism: Spodoptera frugiperda (fall armyworm)
Lineage: Eukaryota; Metazoa; Arthropoda; Insecta; Lepidoptera; Noctuidae
Exons: 2
Source: RefSeq, a predicted model, not a curated record
UCGCGGGCGGAAGCUAGUUAUAAAUAACAUCAGUCAAUUAGUAGUUUAUAGCUUUAACAUGAUUCUCUAAAAAUCUCAUUUAAGAACGUGCCUACAAAUUGCUGUUAUAAAAAUGGGAGCUAUAAUAACAAAUGUUGAGUUUGUAUUGGUAAUUUUUGACAUGGAAGUAUUUUCCACCGUUUGUCGUGUAAACUUGUUAGCUAUUGUUAUAUUAUGUUUUCUAAUAUCUUCAUCUCAUAGUUAUGAAGUUUUUGUAACAUUCUUCCCAAGACUUUCCAUCGAACCAACAGCACUAUUGGCGGUACAAGUGGAUAAAACAUGCAGCAACUGUCCGAAUGUAUUCUAUCCAGUAUGUGCGGAGGACAAAAACACUUAUGUAAACGAAUGCAAAAUGAAAUGCUAUUAUGUCAAUGUAAAGAAUACAACUAAACUACCAAGGAUUGUAAGAGACGGGCCAUGUAAAAUGUUCCCUUAAUAUUUUUGUUGACCUAUUUUAAGAAUUUCGUUUGUAGUUUUUUAACGUAUUUACGCACGGUAAAUAAAUAGUUGAAAUAAUAAAAA